AUGCAUGCAAGAAAUAGAAGCAGAUUUGCGGGAGGUACAAGUAGUUACAUAAGUUGUUCCUAUUCUUUGAACAUAACCUGUCAUACAAUCAGAGCAGCACAGUGCUCAAGAUACUGUGACAGUCCUCUGGAGGUGUCUGUCUUGCUCUGCAAGCAAGUCUGUUACCUGAAGCUCAAUACAUGCCUCCUCAAAGCUGGAAUUCCAGUGCAGCCAUCAUGCAAGCAGGUUCAGAAUGACAGGAGCACUGAAGAACUGGAGGAGGAAAUAUUUGCAGCAAGUCUAAAUGGCCAAGAUAAACAUGUCUGGAUUUGUUUCAUUGUAGAGGAGGACCUGAAUGACAAGGCCUUAUUACUAGGAAGCUGAGAAGCACCCAGUUUGUCUUCAGCAUUAUGGUAAUCUCCAUGAAGUGUUCAGAGGCAGGGGAAGGAGAAACUGUGGCUACCCUACUGCCUGUUAUUGGUAUUAAAGUGAUCUGUUAUUGGUAUUAAAGCAAUGCGAGAAGAAUAUGGCCUGUUUGAUUCUUAACACUGCAUUCCUUGAUGAAGAGAAAUAGUACCCAGGGCAAAGAUGAGUAUCAAUUAAGCUAUGUUGCUUUGGUUACUAGUAAUGAUGUCAGAAAAUCUCAGGAUUAUUGCAUUUAAGAUGAACGUUAACUUUUUAGCUUACCUUGUUACAUCUCAGAAAGAAAUGUUCACUUCAGUGCACUUUGGAAACUAUGUGCGCUGGAGUUUAGAAAACAAGAUUAUGCAGGGUCUUUCAAUGGGACUUCUGCAAGGCUGUCUACAACAAGAGAAGUACUUUGUGCCACCAGACUCCUAUGGGCUCUGAAGCAGAACAUAUGUUCAGUGGUCUGUGGUUGCUAGGUGGUUCUGCCAGGAUAAAGCACUAAAUAGCAUCUCUUACUCUGCUACUAUGCCUCUUUGCAGCCCCCCAUGGUCUGCUUUAUCUGUGGUUCUUCAAGCAGUGCUUGAGUAAGGGAGGUGGGUGGCUUUGACUGCUUGCUCCUGCUCAGGAUUCCUUGGUUAAGUAUCUCUAGUGUUGUAGAAUUAGGGCAAUAUAUGGUCAGGUUGAGGUUGGACUUGAUGAUCUUUAAGGUCUUUUCCAAGCUGAGCAACUCUAUGAAUCUAUGAAGAUGCUGGAAAGAAUAUUUCAUCUAAAAACUAUGAGUUUGGAUCAAAAGUAAUCUGCACUCAAGCCUGCUGAUGCCAUCCAUUUUUAGCCAGACUCUCCCUUAAGGGCUUUCCUGUGAGCUUCAGCUUCUUGUGUUGUUUUCCCCGGUUGGUGCUGUCUAGUGCAGUGGGCGCUGAAGCCAUUGGAAGUUCGAUCAUUGACUUUCAUGAAGGAAACCUCAGGAUCUGAGCGUUUGAGCUGGGGAGGGUACUUAGCAGUACUCAAGCAAAGAUCUGACCGAGUCAACGGGAGUUUUGCCACCUUUGGAAAAUGCAGGACGGCACUCUGCCUUUGCACUGUCCUCCCUCCUGCUACAGGGUGACAGCAAAACAAACCGAAACCAGUGUGUUGUACUCCCUUCAGCCUGCUUGAAAAGAAAAUGUUUUUCAAAAUUACAACUUAGGGAGAAAAUCAGCUCUUAAAUGUUGAAAAACCCUUUGAAAAACAGGGAAUUUGAAACACAAUUAUUAUCCCAGAUAAUCCCAAUGCUCACACUAUAUGAACUUUAAAAUGGGUUAAAAAUGCUGUGUUUUUGCAUACUGUCGUUUCCUCUUUAGGUAUAUGUAGAACGAUGGGGUUACAAAAGGGUAACCCUUUUUGUAUCAUAAAGAGUUUAUUCCAGAAUAAACUUCAGGAAUUUUCUUGAUUCAGCUUUGCACAUACGCUAGAAUGAAAUGUAACUAGGAAGUUUUGUAUGCAAAUGGAAUUGCCAUCGCUAAUUGGUAGUUCCAAGAAGACAGCCCUCCCUGGGGUCCAGGCCAAAGCAAUGGACAGACAAGGAAAAAAAAACUCCAUCUCUUUUAUGUGAAAUCUAUCCUUUUUCUUCCAUACACUUUUCUUAAUGAAUGAAGAGGGCUGGCCAUACGGUUUGAUCUUUUGGGUUGUCCCGUGUGGAGCCAGGAGUUGGACUCGACGAGCUUUGUGGGACCGGGAAUAUCCUGUGCCCGUAUGAAAUACGGCAGUGCCCGGCGAUGCUCCGCUCCACCGUGGGUGAAAGCGGCAGCGGGCAGCCAGGGGCGGUGCUGGGCUGGGCAGCCGGGCUCUCCGAGAGCUGGGGGCUGCUCUCGCCCUGCGAAAAGGAAGGCAUCGCUACAAAGGGGCAACCUUUACGACUGAACUGUUCGGUUGGAGGAAGUUUCUUGGCUGUAAACUGUCAUGCACUGCAGCUCGCGGUGAAAAGGCUCUGGGAGCGAGGAGUUUUCUCUCCUAAGAGAAACCGGAAUGCAAUUAAGAUCAGAAAGGAGGAGAAGGAAAUAAAAUAACAUCAGGAAUGCAGGCUGAAGGGUAAUUUUUUUGUUUGUUGUUUUUUUUUGUUUGUUUGUUUUGUUU
RNAcentral lists this long non-coding RNA (2499 nucleotides) under Meleagris gallopavo (turkey). RNAcentral's name for it is "lncRNA (ENSMGAG00000020530.1)". The record is from RNAcentral. Lineage: Eukaryota; Metazoa; Chordata; Aves; Galliformes; Phasianidae.